UACAGGGGGUGCAAACGUUGCUCGGAAUUAUUGGGCGUAAAGCGCGCGUAGGCGGCUACCUAAGUCGGAUGUGAAAGCCCCUGGCUUAACUGGGGAAGUGCACCCGAAACUGAGUAGCUAGAGUGCGAAAGAGGAUCGCGGAAUUCCCGGUGCAGAGGUGAAAUUCGUAGAUAUCGGGAGGAACACCGGUGGCGAAGGCGGCGACCUGGGUCGACACUGACGCUGAGGCGCGAAAGCGUGGGGAGCAAACAGG
Molecule: ribosomal RNA, 253 nt
Filed under: uncultured bacterium
Lineage: Bacteria
Description: partial 16S ribosomal RNA
Rfam family: Bacterial small subunit ribosomal RNA
Source: RNAcentral